UUGACGGGGCCGCACAAGCGGUGGAGCAUGUGAUUUAAUUCGAAGCAACGCGAAGAACCUUACCAGGCCUUGACAUGCAGAGAACUUUCCAGAGAUGGAUUGGUGCCUUCGGGAACUCUGACACAGGUGCUGCAUGGCUGUCGUCAGCUCGUGUCGUGAGAUGUUGGGUUAAGUCCCGUAACGAGCGCAACCCUUGUCCUUAGUUACCAGCACGUUAUGGUGGGCACUCUAAGGAGACUGCCGGUGACAAACCGGAGGAAGGUGGGGAUGACGUCAAGUCACCAUGGCCCUUACGGCCUGGGCUACACACGUGCUACAAUGGUCGGUACAAAGGGUUGCCAAGCCGCGAGGUGGAGCUAAUCCCAUAAAACCGAUCGUAGUCCGGAUCGCAGUCUGCAACUCGACUGCGUGAAGUCGGAAUCGCUAGUAAUCGUGAAUCAGAAUGUCACGGUGAAUACGUUCCCGGGCCUU
This 471-nucleotide ribosomal RNA is filed under the name uncultured Pseudomonas sp. RNAcentral describes it as "bacterial SSU rRNA". It matches the Rfam family "Bacterial small subunit ribosomal RNA", at positions 910 to 1382 of the family's 1533-position model. Lineage: Bacteria; Pseudomonadati; Pseudomonadota; Gammaproteobacteria; Pseudomonadales; Pseudomonadaceae. The record is from RNAcentral.